This 294-nucleotide unclassified non-coding RNA is filed under the name Hevea brasiliensis (rubber tree). The record is from RNAcentral. Lineage: Eukaryota; Viridiplantae; Streptophyta; Magnoliopsida; Malpighiales; Euphorbiaceae.
GUCCUGAUUCCAAUGGUAGCUGAUUUACUGCCUUGAGUUUUUGUCUUUGGCCCAUCAAAGGGGGCUUUCACAGCUUUGAAUGGUGCCUGUGUCAAAAUUUGCCUGUCACCAGUAGCUCCACUCAGGUUUCGCCUCAAGUUUCCCUUCUCUUUAUAGUUUGUAUCGUCAACGUUCACCUGCUGUAGUGUCAGUAAAGACCUCCUGAUUCCAAUGGUAACUGAUUUACGGCCUUGAAUUUUGGUCUUAGGUCCUUCAAAGGAGGCUUUUGUAUCUUUGAAUGGUGCCCGUGUCAAG